GAUGAAGGUGCUUGCACUUCUGACCUUAGCGGCGAACGGGUGAGUAACACGUAAGGAAUCUACCUAUAANCGGGGGAUAACAUUCGGAAACGGGUGCUAAUACCGCAUAAUAUCUUCUUCCGCAUGGAAGAAGAUUGAAAGACGGCCCUGCUGUCACUUAUAGAUGACCUUGCGGUGCAUUAGUUAGUUGGUGGGGUAACGGCCUACCAAGACGAUGAUGCAUAGCCGACCUGAGAGGGUGAUCGGCCACAUUGGGACUGAGACACGGCCCAAACUCCUACGGGAGGCAGCAGUAGGGAAUCUUCCGCAAUGGGCGAAAGCCUGACGGAGCAAUGCCGCGUGAGUGAAGAAGGCCUUCGGGGUCGUAAAACUCUGUUAUAAGAGAAGAACAAAUUGUAGAGUAACUGCUACAGUCUUGACGGUAUCUUAUCAGAAAGCCACGGCUAACUACGUGCCAGCAGCCGCGGUAAUACGUAGGUGGCAAGCGUUGUCCGGAUUUAUUGGGCGUAAGGGAGCGCAGGUGGUUUCUUAAGUCUGAUGUGAAGCCCACGGCUUAACCGUGGAGGGUCAUUGGAAACUGGGAAACUUGAGUACAGAAGAGGAAUGUGGAACUCCAUGUGUAGCGGUGGAAUGCGUAGAUAUAUGGAAGAACACCAGUGGCGAAGGCGACAUUCUGGUCUGUUACUGACACUGAGGCUCGAAAGCGUGGGGAGCAAACAGGGUUAGAUACCCUGGUAGUCCACGCCGUAAACGAUGAGUGCUAGGUGUUGGAGGGUUUCCGCCCUUCAGUGCCGCAGUUAACGCAUUAAGCACUCCGCCUGGGGAGUACGACCGCAAGGUUGAAACUCAAAGGAAUUGACGGGGACCCGCACAAGCGGUGGAGCAUGUGGUUUAAUUCGAAGCAACGCGAAGAACCUUACCAAGUCUUGACAUCCUUUGACCACCCUAGAGAUAGGGCUUUCCCUUCGGGGACAAAGUGACAGGUGGUGCAUGGUUGUCGUCAGCUCGUGUCGUGAGAUGUUUGGGUUAAAGUCCCGCAACGAGCGCANCCCCUAUUAUUAGUUGCCAGCAUUUAGUUGGGCACUCUAAUGAGACUGCCGGUGACAACCCGGAGGAAGGUGGGGAUGACCUCNAAUCAGCAUGNCCCUUUAUGACUUGGGCUACACACGUGCUACAAUGGAUGGUACAACGAGUCGCAACCCGCGAGGGCAAGAAAUCUUUUAAGCCAUUCCCA
Molecule: ribosomal RNA, 1234 nt
Filed under: uncultured Aerococcus sp.
Lineage: Bacteria; Bacillati; Bacillota; Bacilli; Lactobacillales; Aerococcaceae
Description: bacterial SSU rRNA
Rfam family: Bacterial small subunit ribosomal RNA
Source: RNAcentral